This 254-nucleotide ribosomal RNA is filed under the name uncultured bacterium. RNAcentral's name for it is "partial 16S ribosomal RNA". It matches the Rfam family "Bacterial small subunit ribosomal RNA", at positions 524 to 776 of the family's 1533-position model. The record is from RNAcentral.
UACGAAGGGGCUAGCGUUGCUCGGAAUCACUGGGCGUAAAGGGUGCGUAGGCGGGUCUUUAAGUCAGGGGUGAAAUCCUGGAGCUCAACUCCAGAACUGCCUUUGAUACUGAAGAUCUUGAGUUCGGGAGAGGUGAGUGGAACUGCGAGUGUAGAGGUGAAAUUCGUAGAUAUUCGCAAGAACACCAGUGGCGAAGGCGGCUCACUGGCCCGAUACUGACGCUGAUGGCACGAAAGCGUUGGGGAGCAAACAGG